This is a long non-coding RNA of Malurus melanocephalus (red-backed fairy wren), 368 nucleotides long. RefSeq lists it as uncharacterized. The record is from RefSeq and is a predicted model, not a curated record. NCBI's taxonomy places the organism in Eukaryota, Metazoa, Chordata, Aves, Passeriformes, Maluridae. The transcript is spliced from 4 exons.
GGCCGGCGGCGACAGCCACAGCGACAGCGGGGCGGCGGGGCCAGAGCCCCUUCGCGGAGCGGGAGAGCAUCAGGCCCCUGCGGCUGGUCUCCGGCGAGGGCGGCGGCGGGGCGCGGUGGCCGGCGCUGAGCACGCGGGUGCGGAGCGAGGCGGCGCGGACACAGUCUACCCACAUUGCUCGAGCCAGCUUCCAGGUUGAUGCUUUUGGAUCAUCUUUCAUCUUAGACGUGACACUAAACCAUGACCUGCUGUCUUCUGAAUAUCUUGAGAGGCAUAUCGAGCAAGGUGGGAAGACAGUGGAAGUUAAAGGAGGAGAACAUUGCUAUUAUCAGGGAAAAAUACGAGGAAAUCCUGUAUCAUAUGUUGCC